CCUACGGGCGGCAGCAGUGGGGAAUAUUGGGCAAUGGGCGCAAGCCUGACCCAGCAACGCCGCGUGAAGGAAGAAGGCUUUCGGGUUGUAAACUUCUUUUCUCAGGGACGAAGAAAGUGACGGUACCGGAGGAAUAAGCCACGGCUAACUACGUGCCAGCAGCCGCGGUAAUACGGAGGUGGCAAGCGUUAUCCGGAUUUAUUGGGUGUAAAGGGCGUGUAGGCGGGAGCGCAAGUCAGAUGUGAAAACUCAGGGCUCAACCCUGAGCCUGCAUUUGAAACUGUGUUUCUUGAGUGCUGGAGAGGAAAUCGGAAUUCAGUGUGUAGCGGUGAAAUGCGUAGAUAUACGGAGGAACACCAGUGGCGAAGGCGGAUUGCUGGACAGUAACUGACGCUGAGGCGCGAAAGCGUGGGGAGCAAACAGGAUUAGAUACCCUAGUAGUC
RNAcentral lists this ribosomal RNA (443 nucleotides) under uncultured bacterium. Its description in RNAcentral is "partial 16S ribosomal RNA". It matches the Rfam family "Bacterial small subunit ribosomal RNA", at positions 338 to 795 of the family's 1533-position model. The record is from RNAcentral.